Molecule: ribosomal RNA, 460 nt
Filed under: uncultured bacterium
Lineage: Bacteria
Description: partial 16S ribosomal RNA
Rfam family: Bacterial small subunit ribosomal RNA
Source: RNAcentral
CCUACGGGAGGCAGCAGUGAGGAAUAUUGGUCAAUGGACGAGAGUCUGAACCAGCCAAGUAGCGUGAAGGAUGACUGCCCUAUGGGUUGUAAACUUCUUUUAUAUGGGAAUAAAAUGUUCCACGUGUGGGAUUUUGUAUGUACCAUAUGAAUAAGGAUCGGCUAACUCCGUGCCAGCAGCCGCGGUAAUACGGAGGAUCCGAGCGUUAUCCGGAUUUAUUGGGUUUAAAGGGAGCGUAGGUGGAUUGUUAAGUCAGUUGUGAAAGUUUGCGGCUCAACCGUAAAAUUGCAGUUGAAGCUGGCAGUCUUGAGUACAGUAGAGGUGGGCGGAAUUCGUGGUGUAGCGGUGAAAUGCUUAGAUAUCACGUAGAACUCCGAUUGCGAAGGCAGUUCACUGGACUGCAACUGACACUGAGGCUCGAAAGUGUGGGUAUCAAACAGGAUUAGAUACCCGUGUAGUC